AAGACUAUAGACCUGCGGAGUACCUGCGGAAGGAUCAUUAACGUAUCUAUGAUGGGGUGCGGAGCGCCCUGCUCCGGUCGAACGGCCGUGCAGCGGGUGCGCCGCCCCCGUCCCACCUCACAAACCCACUGUGAACAUUCACCGGUGGAGGGGGCUCGGUCUGCGCCGUGUCCCUGAUGCCGAAUACCCAAACUCCAGUUGCAAAGAACGUCGUGCGGACUCGGUGCCGCCUAAAACAUG
This 240-nucleotide unclassified non-coding RNA is filed under the name soil metagenome. RNAcentral's name for it is "partial contains 5.8S ribosomal RNA, internal transcribed spacer 2, and large subunit ribosomal RNA". The record is from RNAcentral.